GGUUAAGCGACUAAGCGUACACGGUGGAUGCCCUGGCAGUCAGAGGCGAUGAAGGACGUGCUAAUCUGCGAUAAGCGUCGGUAAGGUGAUAUGAACCGUUAUAACCGGCGAUUUCCGAAUGGGGAAACCCAGUGUGUUUCGACACACUAUCAUUAACUGAAUCCAUAGGUUAAUGAGGCGAACCGGGGGAACUGAAACAUCUAAGUACCCCGAGGAAAAGAAAUCAACCGAGAUUCCCCCAGUAGCGGCGAGCGAACGGGGAGCAGCCCAGAGCCUGAAUCAGUGUGUGUGUUAGUGGAAGCGUCUGGAAAGGCGCGCGAUACAGGGUGACAGCCCCGUACACAAAAAUGCACAUGCUGUGAGCUCGAUGAGUAGGGCGGGACACGUGGUAUCCUGUCUGAAUAUGGGGGGACCAUCCUCCAAGGCUAAAUACUCCUGACUGACCGAUAGUGAACCAGUACCGUGAGGGAAAGGCGAAAAGAACCCCGGCGAGGGGAGUGAAAAAGAACCUGAAACCGUGUACGUACAAGCAGUGGGAGCACGCUUAGGCGUGUGACUGCGUACCUUUUGUAUAAUGGGUCAGCGACUUAUAUUCUGUAGCAAGGUUAACCGAAUAGGGGAGCCGAAGGGAAACCGAGUCUUAACUGGGCGUUAAGUUGCAGGGUAUAGACCCGAAACCCGGUGAUCUAGCCAUGGGCAGGUUGAAGGUUGGGUAACACUAACUGGAGGACCGAACCGACUAAUGUUGAAAAAUUAGCGGAUGACUUGUGGCUGGGGUGAAAGGCCAAUCAAACCGGGAGAUAGCUGGUUCUCCCCGAAAGCUAUUUAGGUAGCGCCUCGUGAAUUCAUCUCCGGGGGUAGAGCACUGUUUCGGCAAGGGGGUCAUCCCGACUUACCAACCCGAUGCAAACUGCGAAUACCGGAGAAUGUUAUCACGGGAGACACACGGCGGGUGCUAACGUCCGUCGUGAAGAGGGAAACAACCCAGACCGCCAGCUAAGGUCCCAAAGUCAUGGUUAAGUGGGAAACGAUGUGGGAAGGCCCAGACAGCCAGGAUGUUGGCUUAGAAGCAGCCAUCAUUUAAAGAAAGCGUAAUAGCUCACUGGUCGAGUCGGCCUGCGCGGAAGAUGUAACGGGGCUAAACCAUGCACCGAAGCUGCGGCAGCGACGCUGAUGCGUUGUUGGGUAGGGGAGCGUUCUGUAAGCCUGCGAAGGUGUGCUGUGAGGCAUGCUGGAGGUAUCAGAAGUGCGAAUGCUGACAUAAGUAACGAUAAAGCGGGUGAAAAGCCCGCUCGCCGGAAGACCAAGGGUUCCUGUCCAACGUUAAUCGGGGCAGGGUGAGUCGACCCCUAAGGCGAGGCCGAAAGGCGUAGUCGAUGGGAAACAGGUUAAUAUUCCUGUACUUGGUGUUACUGCGAAGGGGGGACGGAGAAGGCUAUGUUGGCCGGGCGACGGUUGUCCCGGUUUAAGCGUGUAGGCUGGUUUUCCAGGCAAAUCCGGAAAAUCAAGGCUGAGGCGUGAUGACGAGGCACUACGGUGCUGAAGCAACAAAUGCCCUGCUUCCAGGAAAAGCCUCUAAGCAUCAGGUAACAUCAAAUCGUACCCCAAACCGACACAGGUGGUCAGGUAGAGAAUACCAAGGCGCUUGAGAGAACUCGGGUGAAGGAACUAGGCAAAAUGGUGCCGUAACUUCGGGAGAAGGCACGCUGAUAUGUAGGUGAGGUCCCUCGCGGAUGGAGCUGAAAUCAGUCGAAGAUACCAGCUGGCUGCAACUGUUUAUUAAAAACACAGCACUGUGCAAACACGAAAGUGGACGUAUACGGUGUGACGCCUGCCCGGUGCCGGAAGGUUAAUUGAUGGGGUUAGCGCAAGCGAAGCUCUUGAUCGAAGCCCCGGUAAACGGCGGCCGUAACUAUAACGGUCCUAAGGUAGCGAAAUUCCUUGUCGGGUAAGUUCCGACCUGCACGAAUGGCGUAAUGAUGGCCAGGCUGUCUCCACCCGAGACUCAGUGAAAUUGAACUCGCUGUGAAGAUGCAGUGUACCCGCGGCAAGACGGAAAGACCCCGUGAACCUUUACUAUAGCUUGACACUGAACAUUGAGCCUUGAUGUGUAGGAUAGGUGGGAGGCUUAGAAGUGUGGACGCCAGUCUGCAUGGAGCCGACCUUGAAAUACCACCCUUUAAUGUUUGAUGUUCUAACGUUGACCCGUAAUCCGGGUUGCGGACAGUGUCUGGUGGGUAGUUUGACUGGGGCGGUCUCCUCCUAAAGAGUAACGGAGGAGCACGAAGGUUGGCUAAUCCUGGUCGGACAUCAGGAGGUUAGUGCAAUGGCAUAAGCCAGCUUGACUGCGAGCGUGACGGCGCGAGCAGGUGCGAAAGCAGGUCAUAGUGAUCCGGUGGUUCUGAAUGGAAGGGCCAUCGCUCAACGGAUAAAAGGUACUCCGGGGAUAACAGGCUGAUACCGCCCAAGAGUUCAUAUCGACGGCGGUGUUUGGCACCUCGAUGUCGGCUCAUCACAUCCUGGGGCUGAAGUAGGUCCCAAGGGUAUGGCUGUUCGCCAUUUAAAGUGGUACGCGAGCUGGGUUUAGAACGUCGUGAGACAGUUCGGUCCCUAUCUGCCGUGGGCGCUGGAGAACUGAGGGGGGCUGCUCCUAGUACGAGAGGACCGGAGUGGACGCAUCACUGGUGUUCGGGUUGUCAUGCCAAUGGCACUGCCCGGUAGCUAAAUGCGGAAGAGAUAAGUGCUGAAAGCAUCUAAGCACGAAACUUGCCCCGAGAUGAGUUCUCCCUGACCCUUUAAGGGUCCUGAAGGAACGUUGAAGACGACGACGUUGAUAGGCCGGGUGUGUAAGCGCAGCGAUGCGUUGAGCUAACCGGUACUAAUGAACCGUGAGGCUUAACCUU
Molecule: ribosomal RNA, 2903 nt
Filed under: Escherichia coli
Lineage: Bacteria; Pseudomonadati; Pseudomonadota; Gammaproteobacteria; Enterobacterales; Enterobacteriaceae
Description: 23S ribosomal RNA
Rfam family: Bacterial large subunit ribosomal RNA
Source: RNAcentral